RNAcentral lists this ribosomal RNA (406 nucleotides) under uncultured bacterium. RNAcentral's name for it is "partial 16S ribosomal RNA". It matches the Rfam family "Bacterial small subunit ribosomal RNA", at positions 30 to 526 of the family's 1533-position model. The record is from RNAcentral.
AUUGAACGCUGGCGGCAGGCCUAACACAUGCAAGUCGAACGAGUGGCGGACGGGUGAGUAAUGUCUGGGAAACUGCCUGAUGGCGGGGGAUAACUACUGGAAACGGUAGCUAAUACAGCAUACCAUCAGAUGUGCCCAGAGGGGAUUAGCUUGUUGGUGUGGUAACGGCUCACCAAGGCGACGAGCCCUAGCUGGUCUGAGAGGAGGACCAGCCACACUGGAUCUGAGACACGAUCCAGACGCCUACGGUAGGGAGGAGUGUGGAAUAUUGCACAAUGGGGGCAAUCCUGAUGCAGCCAUGCCGCGUGUAUGAAGAAGGCCUUCGGGUUGUAAAGUACUUUCAGCGGGGAGGCGUUACCCGCAGAAGAAGCACCGGCUAACUCCGUGCCAGCCGCCGCGGUAAUUC